This is a non-coding RNA of Picea glauca (white spruce), 121 nucleotides long. Lineage: Eukaryota; Viridiplantae; Streptophyta; Pinopsida; Pinales; Pinaceae. The record is from Rfam.
ACAUGCCUACAACAUAGCAUUAAUGCACCGGAUCCCAUUAGAACUCUGCAAUUAAGCACGCUCAGGCUACAGUAGUACUGAGAUGGGUGACUGCCUAGGAAGUCCUAGUGUUUUACAUGCC